UGAGGAACAUGACCUUCGGCGGGGGAUAGCCGGCCCAACGGCCGGGUAAUACCGCGUACGACCACAUGGGGACAUCCCUGAGUGGUGAAAGCAGCAAUGCGCCGAUGGAGUGCCUCGCGGCCUAUCAGCUAGUUGGUGAGGUAACGGCUCACCAAGGCAACGACGGGUANCUGGUCUGAGAGGAUGGCCAGCCACAGUUGGGACUGAGACACGGCCCAGACCUCUACGGGAG
RNAcentral lists this ribosomal RNA (232 nucleotides) under uncultured bacterium. RNAcentral's name for it is "partial 16S ribosomal RNA". It matches the Rfam family "Bacterial small subunit ribosomal RNA", at positions 118 to 347 of the family's 1533-position model. The record is from RNAcentral.